AACGCGAAGAACCUUACCUGGGCUCGAACGGCUGCCGACCGGUGGUGGAAACAUCGCCUUUCCCGCAAGGGACGGUAGUCGAGGUGCUGCAUGGCUGUCGUCAGCUCGUGUCGUGAGAUGUUGGGUUAAGUCCCGCAACGAGCGCAACCCUUGUCCUGUGUUGCUAACCCCUUAAAAGGUGCACUCUCAGGAGACCGCCAGCGAUAAGCUGGAGGAAGGUGGGGAUGACGUCAAGUCAUCAUGGCCUUUAUGUCCAGGGCUACACACGUGCUACAAUGGACGGUACAAAGCGCUGCAAACCCGCGAGGGGGAGCCAAUCGCAAAAAACCGUUCUCAGUUCGGAUUGCAGGCUGCAACUCGCCUGCAUGAAGCUGGAAUCGCUAGUAAUGGCAUAUCAGAACGAUGCCGUGAAUACGUUCCCGGGCCUUGUACACACCGUACGUC
Molecule: ribosomal RNA, 444 nt
Filed under: uncultured bacterium
Lineage: Bacteria
Description: bacterial SSU rRNA
Rfam family: Bacterial small subunit ribosomal RNA
Source: RNAcentral